This 440-nucleotide ribosomal RNA is filed under the name uncultured bacterium. RNAcentral describes it as "partial 16S ribosomal RNA". It matches the Rfam family "Bacterial small subunit ribosomal RNA", at positions 338 to 795 of the family's 1533-position model. The record is from RNAcentral.
CCUACGGGUGGCAGCAGUGGGGAAUAUUGCACAAUGGAGGGAACUCUGAUGCAGCGACGCCGCGUGAGUGAAGAAGUAACUAGUUAUGUUAAGCUCUAUCAGCAUGGAAGUAAGUGACGGUAUCCGUAAAAGAAGCUCCGUAUAAAUACGUGCCAGCAGCGGCGGUAAUAUGUAUGGAGCAAGCGUUAUCCGGAUUUACUGGGUGUAAAGGGAGAGUAGGUGGCAGAGCAAGUCCGAAGUGAAAACCCAAAGCUCAACUAUGGGAAUGCUUUAGAAACUGCUCAGCUAGAGUGCAGGAGAGGCAAGUGGAAUUCUUAGUGUAGCGGUGAAAUGCGUAGAUAUUAGGAAGAACACCGGUGGCGAAGGCGGCUUGCUGGACUGUAACUGACACUGAGGCUCGAAAGCGUGGGGAGCAAACAGGAUUAGAUACCCUGGUAGUC